AUGAAGAACUAUUUCGUGGAGAAUCCCACAUACCCGGAGUCGUAUUUUCAUCGCCGGUUUAGGAUGAGCACCGACUUGUUCAGGCGCAUUGCAGAGAAACUAGCGAGCCAUGACCGGUUUUUCCAGCAAAGGAGGAAUGCCGCCGGAGAGCUCGGGCAUAGCACCUUUCUGAAGGUGACAGCCGCUUUGCGUAUGUUGGCAUACGGUAUCCCGACUGAUCUAGUUGAUGAUCACUUAGCUAUAGGUGAGAGCCAAGCCAUCAUGUGUGUCAAGUGCUUUGCAGUGGGAAUUGUGCAAGCGUUUUAUUGCCUCCUAUCAUGCCAUUCGGCGUCCCGCAACGCACAAUGA
RNAcentral lists this ribosomal RNA (348 nucleotides) under Triticum aestivum (bread wheat). Its description in RNAcentral is "partial small subunit ribosomal RNA". The record is from RNAcentral. Lineage: Eukaryota; Viridiplantae; Streptophyta; Magnoliopsida; Poales; Poaceae.